This 239-nucleotide ribosomal RNA is filed under the name Sclerotiniaceae sp. RNAcentral describes it as "partial large subunit ribosomal RNA". It matches the Rfam family "Eukaryotic large subunit ribosomal RNA", at positions 104 to 339 of the family's 3401-position model. Lineage: Eukaryota; Fungi; Ascomycota; Leotiomycetes; Helotiales; Sclerotiniaceae. The record is from RNAcentral.
AUAGCUCAAAUUUGAAAUCUGGCUUUUUUAGAGUCCGAAUUGUAAUUUGUAGAAGAUACUUCAGGUAUGGUGCUAGUCUAAGUUCCUUGGAAUAGGACGUCAUAGUGGGUGAGAAUCCCGUAUGUGACUAUGCAUUUAUGCCUAUAUGAAGUUCUUUCAAUGAGUCGAGUUGUUUGGGAAUGCAGCUCAAAAUGGGUGGUAUAUUUCAUCUAAAGCUAAAUAUUGGCCAGAGACCGAUA